Molecule: long non-coding RNA, 284 nt
Organism: Pocillopora verrucosa
Lineage: Eukaryota; Metazoa; Cnidaria; Anthozoa; Scleractinia; Pocilloporidae
Source: RefSeq, a predicted model, not a curated record
AGUGAAUGUAAACAUGGCUGCUUUGGCGGGACAGGCAAAUUUAUUAAGAAGAUUCGACGCAAAUAUUCCGCUGUAAAUAGAUACAUAUUCCUGGAACCUUCUUUCCUUGUAUUUGUCGAAAAUUUGUCAAAUGGCUAAAACGUGAAGUAAAGCUGAUGAAGAACGACCAAGAAGGUAUCGCUGUGCAUGUGAGAACUGCCACUGACAAUGGAAUUUGCACUUAACAAUCGUUACGUGUUAUUGCAAUGUGUACGCGAUUCCUUGAAUGUAUUUUCAACUGAAUU